GGCAGAUCACCUGAGGUUGGGAGUUCGAGACCAGCCUGACCAACAUGGAGAAAUGCCAUCUCUACUAAAAAUACAAAAAUUAGCCGGGCAUGGUGGCACGUGCCUGUAAUCCCAGCUACUCAGGAGGCUGAGGCAGGAGAAUCGCUUGAACCUGGGAGGUGGAAGUUGCAGUGAGCUGAGAUCACGCCAUUGCACUCCAGCCUGGGCAACAAGCGAAACUCUGUCUCAAAAAAAAAGAAAAGACAGUAGCUUAUGUUCAUGUCAAGCACCUCUCAUCACAGUCUAGUUCCAAGGAAAAAUUCCAGCGUUUUCUACAUUGGGUGCUGUGUCAUCUGAAAUCGGCACAUUCCAUGGAGGAAGGAGUCCUGCUUUGUUGCAUGUAUCCUAGGGUUUAAUGUUGGUAAAUGAGUCACUCUAGCAUUUGUAGAAGGCUCCCUGAGACUCCUACAGCAGUCGACCAAGCCCAAGGACAUAAUUGAAUCUGGAGAGUCCUGG
RNAcentral lists this long non-coding RNA (495 nucleotides) under Homo sapiens (human). The record is from RNAcentral. Lineage: Eukaryota; Metazoa; Chordata; Mammalia; Primates; Hominidae.